UUUUCUUUUUUUUCUUUCCACUAGUGAAAUGGGACUAGGUGUGUUGUUUAGGUGCCACAAGUCAGUUCUCUAUUUGUGCAACAACCAAUAACUUGAUUCAAACAAAGCCAAUAACACAUAAAUUUUCAAACAACAGCCAAAUCAUGGCAGGUAGUUUACAAUCAUGGCAGUACAAAUCAGGUAUUGAAAUAUAGAAUACAGCUAAAUAUUAACAUGUCCAGCUCCAGAGAGCUAAAACACAUUGUUGGGUGCGAGUUUUCUUUAGGAUUCUACUCCUGUAGUUCCUUGUACAACAACAUUUGACGAAUUAAGGCCAAAAUCUGCGAGUUAUAAAUCAGAAAAGUUAGGAAUAUAAUCAAGUGAAGCCAUGCAUAUAACAUUCUUCUAACAAUGAAAAAUAGCUGCAGAAUUUGAGAUCUAAUAAGAAAACAUGCAUAUAGCAUUCUCGUAAUAGCAAGACUGAGAUAUAUUUGGGAAGGGAAAAUGACAAGUACCAACCCAGUGCAAGAUAACACAGCACCUAUGUCAAAGUUAUUCAGAUUUCCUGAUGUGUGUGUCACAUUAUACAUGCAUCAAGCAUCAGGUGACCAAGCAAACUAUUCUGGAAUAGAUACAAAACAAGCAUGUAUUGACCAUCCUACUGGUAGCAAGUACAUAAAGGUAAUCACUUAACAAGCAGCGCAAACAUGAACGAGUCACAUAACUAAGUACAAUCCAAUAUCCCAGCUGAGAGCGAACAUGUAUUUGACAUUUCAGGAUUUCAAUACAUGCACGACAGAGAGUGGCGCUCUGUUCUU
RNAcentral lists this long non-coding RNA (797 nucleotides) under Triticum aestivum (bread wheat). RNAcentral's name for it is "long non-coding RNA (TAES_LNC008610)". Lineage: Eukaryota; Viridiplantae; Streptophyta; Magnoliopsida; Poales; Poaceae. The record is from RNAcentral.